AGCGGCAGGCGGCUUGUCCUCGCCGGAGGCGAAGGCGCCAAGGCGGUGCAUCUGCAUAAGCAUCUUAGGAUCGCCUUCAUCCACCCCGAUCUCCGGACUCGGUAACGUCUCUCUCUCUCUCUCUCUCUCUCUCUCUCUCUCUCUCUCUCUCUCUCUCGCAUUUUCUCAUUUGAGUUCGGCUAUAUCUGACAGAUAUCAACCGCCCGCAGGGGACCAUAGUCAUCUAUCUACGCUUUAAUUGCUCGGGGGCUUUAAUUGUUUUGCAUUUCAGAGGGUCACACCCAGAUGUCCGGCAACUAGGGCGAAGUGUUACCACUAGUGUUUGAUGAUGCAGAUUUGCAGAGUGAUUGCACGACCUAAUGCUUUUUUUUUUGGAGACAUGAGUACAUGACAAACUGAUAGACUGAG
RNAcentral lists this long non-coding RNA (408 nucleotides) under Setaria italica (foxtail millet). RNAcentral's name for it is "long non-coding RNA (SITA_LNC000642)". The record is from RNAcentral. Lineage: Eukaryota; Viridiplantae; Streptophyta; Magnoliopsida; Poales; Poaceae.